This is a long non-coding RNA of Bactrocera dorsalis (oriental fruit fly), 2657 nucleotides long. RefSeq lists it as uncharacterized. The transcript is spliced from 3 exons. The record is from RefSeq and is a predicted model, not a curated record. NCBI's taxonomy places the organism in Eukaryota, Metazoa, Arthropoda, Insecta, Diptera, Tephritidae.
UGGCGUGAUUCGCUUCCACGAAUCUUAUGCUGCACAACAGGUAGUGCAGACGCUGACCAUGCACUUUCUGGUGCAUUUCGGUCACACGUGCCGGAAGUUGUAAGUCAAUGCUUGAGUAACAAGUGUUGUGUUAACUCUUCCCCUCUUAAAUCGAUUGUCCCCAAUCGGUGUUGCUCGUAGGGUAUGCCGUUGUUAUUUGCAAAAAAGGAGCUUUCUGCACGUUUACUAUGUCCUCUGCACUAGAUUCAGGUGACAUAUAUACUUUUUGACGAUUUUUAUAUAGAAAUGCUACUAUAACGAUUAUAAUGAUAAUUAUUGUUACAUCGGAUCUUAAGCUAAUUACUGAAGAAUUGAAGCAUGUUCGCGAAUAACGUUGUAAGCGACAAUUUUUUCAAAACCGGUUUUUUUGCAGAUUACUGUUAUAAUGGCUCUCUUUUCCAAAUCAAAAUUUGGCAUAUUAUUACACUUGUUCGUAUUCAAAUCGCAUUUUAAUACAAGCACUCAGUGGAAUAACGUUUCAAGUGACUUAUUUAUUGUGUGUAGAAUGGCAAAAACUGAGUGUUCUCGUGUGCUUGAUAAGUGUGUUAGAGGCUCCAACAGGAAAAUAAAUUUAGAAAAUUGGAAAGAUUUCAAUAAUAAAAAGCUAAGAAAUAGUGGGCAAUCUUAUAUUAAUAGAAAAAAAAAACAAGUUAUACCAGCAAAAAAUGUCCCAAAGCAGCAAAAAUUAUAACGAGCAAUGUUUAUUUCUAUCCUCACUUCUUGAAUUGAGCGAGCCAAAAAGAAGAAGAGUUGAAGAGGGGAGUUCUAUACGAAAUACAACAGUAUUUUAUUUUUUGGUGCUUUCAAACGGAAAAAGAGAGAGAGUGUGCAAAAAAAUGUUUUGUCACACAUUUCAGAUAACGCAGCGCAGAGUUCAAAUUUUGGUUAAAAAAGUAAAAUAUGGGAAAAACAUUGAUGAUCAGCGAGGAAAACAUGAAAAUCGUCCCCACAAAAUCAUAGAACAGGAAAAACUGAGCGUUGAUGAACACAUAGUAAGCUUUCCCAGCCAAGAAAGUCACUAUGGUCGUUCAACAUCUCGAAAAAUUGUCUUAACCCCAAUUUAAAUAUUAAAACAAUGUACGAGUUAUACAAAGUUAAAUAUCCGGAUACCCAAAUUUCGUACAGCACAUAUAAGCACAUUUUUCAUACAGAACACAAACUACGAUUUGGUUUCCCAAGAAGUGAUACUUGCAAGGUUUGUGACAAGUAUUUUAUUGAUAUGAUUGCCGCUGAAAAUACGAAACGAUUUGAAAAUAUUCAAAAAUUGGCGACAGCUCAUCACGAGCAAGCAGAUAAAGCAUAUCUAUGCGCAACUUCGAGAUGAUUCCAACGCUGGCAAAAAUUCACAAAAUACCGCAGUCAUAUGUGUCGAUAUGCAGCAAGUGAUUUUCACACCGAAUCUCACACAUUGUGAUGUAUUUUAUCAUCGACAGUAUUCUAAUUAUAAUUUUGCUGUCCAUAAUAUCUCAGAAAAUACGGUCGAUAUGUACACAUGGCACGAAACGAUUGCUAAAAGAGGAGCUGCUGAAAUAGCUUCAUGUAUUUGGAAACACAUUACAUCAAAAUUCAGUAUUCUGGAAACUGAUCAAAUUAGAAAAUUGAUUAUAUGGUCCGAUAGAUGCGUUGGACAAAAUAACAACUGGACUAUGAUUGCUUUGUGCCACAGCCUUCUGAUCAAAUACUUUUCUGAAGUGAAUCAAAAAUUUCUUACUUCAGGGCACAGCUUUCUGCCAUGCGACCGGGAUUUUGCACUUAUCGAAAAAAAGAAAAAAACAGCUCAACUUUAUACACAGGCAGAUGUGUGUCAUAUGAUUCAUUUUGCAAGGCCUUCGAAUCCAUUGCAGAUUCAUCAAAUGGCUCUAUAUGAAUUUAAAAACUUCGAGAUGCUAGUCAAAAAUUUAUAUAGAAAUCCUUUGUGCAAAAUAACUGCUGCAAAGUGGAUACAAAUUUCUAGAUACGAUCCAAAAACACUUAAAAUGCGUAAGCAGCAUAAUAUAGCAGAAGCAUGGACUUCUUAUAAUUUGUGCUCAAAAAAAAAAACAUAAAUUAUGCGAAUUAUACUUUGCCAAUGCUCAGGAAUGAUACAAUAAACGUAAGUGAUGAAAAGAAGUAGGACCUUCUGGCAAUGGCGUCGUAUUUACCAGAAAACUGUGCACAGUUUUAUAAACAGUUGCCAAGACAUAUAUUGACCAAUACAUAUGUAUAUUGAUACUCUAUACUAUUUACUAUAUAUCCGUUGUGAAUUACAUUUUGCGGAAAUAUCGUUUAAAUUUAUUUGAAAUAAAAGAUUUUUCGUUUUGUUUAUAACCUUCUUUGUUCGUUUGUAUUACUGAAAUACAUUUUUUUUGGUUUUGAAACCUUUACUUUCCAAAUCUUCUUCUUCUUCUUUACUGGCGUAGACACCGCUUACGCGAUUAUAGCCGAGUCAACAACAGCGCGCCAAUCGUUUCUUCUCUUCGCUACGUGGCGCCAAUUGGAUAUUCCAAGCGAGGCCAGGUCCUUCUCCACUUGGUCCUUCCACCGGAGUGGAGGUCUUCCUCUUCCUCUGCUUCCCGCGGCGGGUACUGCGUCGAAUACUUUCAGAGCUGGAGUGUUUUCAUCCAUCCGGACAACAUGAC